This 69-nucleotide transfer RNA is filed under the name Marmota monax (woodchuck). RNAcentral describes it as "tRNA.Ala". The record is from RNAcentral. Lineage: Eukaryota; Metazoa; Chordata; Mammalia; Rodentia; Sciuridae.
GGUUUGUGGCUCAAGUGGUAGAGUGUUUGCCUAGCAUGUAUGAGGCACUGUGUUCAAUCCCUGGCACCA